This 62-nucleotide microRNA precursor is filed under the name Caenorhabditis elegans. RNAcentral's name for it is "Cel-Mir-73-P1_pre stem-loop". The record is from RNAcentral. Lineage: Eukaryota; Metazoa; Nematoda; Chromadorea; Rhabditida; Rhabditidae.
UGGACUUCCAUAUCGAGCCACAGCUAUCAACGAAUUUGCUGGCAAGAUGUAGGCAGUUCAGU